RNAcentral lists this small nuclear RNA (61 nucleotides) under Papio anubis (olive baboon). Its description in RNAcentral is "U7 small nuclear RNA (ENSPANG00000050590.1)". It matches the Rfam family "U7 small nuclear RNA". Rfam says of the family: Animal histone pre-mRNAs are spliced by a different mechanism than nuclear pre-mRNAs and self-splicing introns. The record is from RNAcentral. Lineage: Eukaryota; Metazoa; Chordata; Mammalia; Primates; Cercopithecidae.
CACAUUACAGCUCUUUUAAAAUUUGUCCAGCAGGUUUUCUGGUCUUUACCAGAAAGCUCCC